Psammomys obesus (fat sand rat) is the source of this 1395-nucleotide long non-coding RNA. RefSeq lists it as uncharacterized. Lineage: Eukaryota; Metazoa; Chordata; Mammalia; Rodentia; Muridae. The transcript has 2 exons. The record is from RefSeq and is a predicted model, not a curated record.
CAUUGAGAGACUGCUGCAGCUAUGGCCCAAGGGCCUGCCUGGCUAAGGCUUCAGCUGUCAGCUGCUUUUCCAGCUGUGCACAGUGCAACAUUCGACAUUCCUGGAUCUCCAACACCCUGUGGUCUCUCCAUUGAGGCGUUAUCUUCAUAGCUAUAUACUGUUCUUUUUCUUUUCCUUUUUGAAAUACUCCAUACUGACCGGACAAAUUGGCUGGAUCAAUUUACCUUCCCACUAGCAGUGUAUCAAAGUUCUCUUUUGUCCAUGCCCUCACCAAUAUUUCUAAUUUUUUUUUUAUGACUGCCACUCUGACUGGGGAAAGAUGGGAUCUCGCUGUAGUUUUGGUUUGCCUAUUUCGGAUGGCUGGUUAAGCUGACCAUAUUUCAUAGGGGUGUUGGCCAUUCUCAUCUCACCUUUCAUCCUAUUUAUUGCUCGGGUUGUUUAGCUUCUUGUUUGUUUGUUUUUUUGGUUUUGUUUUACAAUACAGGGUUUCUCUGUGUAGCCUGGAUUCGCUUUGCAGACCAGAUUGGCCUAGAACUCACAGAGAUCCACCUGCCUCUGCCUCCCAAGUGCUGGGAUUAAAGGCGUCUUGUUUAGUUUUUUAAUUAUUUGUAUAUUCCAGGUCUUAAUCCUUCAUCAUAUGUAUGGCUAGCCAUGAUGACCUGGCUGUUACCCUCCUGUUCUUUUGAACACUCAAUAGAAUGCCCACUUGGCUUUGUCUGCACAGUAGGGCUUCUCCAGCUCAGUCUACAAACUCUUGCCACACACUGUUUCCAAUGGCUGAAGAACCGUAUGGUCAGGUUUUCUCAUAGCAACCCCACUUUCCUCGUACCGAUUCCAUUUUGUUUGGAUGGUUUUGUUUUUCAAGACAGGGUUUCUUUGUGUAACCCUGGCUGUCCUGGAACCAGCUCUGUAGACCAGACUGGACUUCAGAGAUCCAUCUGCCUCUCGAGUGCUAGGACUAAAGGCAUGCGCCACCACCAUCUGGUCCCAGUUUUGUUAUUUUUACACGGGUGUGACUAAAUGCAUGGCAAGAACAACGUAAGAGAGUGUCAAGAUAAGCUUGAUUGAGACCCAUAGAGAAUGGUAAAUGAAGCGUCAUCAACUCCUAUAACUUCUCGAAAGAUCCUGACCCACUGCACAUAGUGUUUAUCCGCUAGGGACUCCUAGCACAGUAGUGAAGUCUCAAAAUGGAUCCAAGGCUAGGCUGGUGACUGCUUCCCCCUUCUUUAGGGAAGUCUCCUGGGGUGACCUUGCCCCCACACCCCACAUUCCUUAUAGUCACACCAACCUGAUGGACUGUUACGGGUGUUUGAGGCUAGCAUGAGUCAAUCUGACUGACCCUUCAAUCAUACAAAGGCUGUUUCACUACACAAUAAAGUUAGACCUGCACCUUGA